RNAcentral lists this non-coding RNA (25 nucleotides) under Rattus norvegicus (Norway rat). The record is from RNAcentral. Lineage: Eukaryota; Metazoa; Chordata; Mammalia; Rodentia; Muridae.
UACGAUGUAUGGCUGCUGAUCUGGG